Molecule: ribosomal RNA, 550 nt
Filed under: uncultured bacterium
Lineage: Bacteria
Description: bacterial SSU rRNA
Rfam family: Bacterial small subunit ribosomal RNA
Source: RNAcentral
CUGGGGUGAAAGCCCGUUGCUCAACAACGGAACUGCCCUGGAAACUGGUUGGCUUGGGUACAGACGAGGGUGGCGGAAUGGAUACUGUAGCGGUGAAAUGCAUAGAUAGUAUCCAGAACCCCGAUUGCGAAGGCAGCUGCCUAGACUGUAACUGACGCUGAGGCACGAAAGCGUGGGGAGCGAACAGGAUUAGAUACCCUGGUAGUCCACGCCGUAAACGAUGGAUACUCGCUGGUGGCGAUAGAUGGUCACUGGCUUAGCGAAAGCGUUAAGUAUCCCACCUGGGGAGUACGCUCGCAAGAGUGAAACUCAAAAGAAUUGACGGGGGCCCGCACAAGUGGUGGAGCAUGUGGUUUAAUUCGAUGAUACGCGAGGAACCUUACCUAGGCUAGAAUGCGCGUGACCGGCUCAGAGAUGAGCCUUUCCUUCGGGACACAAAGCAAGGUGCUGCAUGGCCGUCGUCAGCUCGUGCCGUGAGGUGUUGGGUUAAGUCCCGCAACGAGCGCAACCCCCUAUGUUUAGUUGCCAGCACGUAAUGGUGGGGACUCUA